RNAcentral lists this ribosomal RNA (297 nucleotides) under uncultured bacterium. Its description in RNAcentral is "partial 16S ribosomal RNA". It matches the Rfam family "Bacterial small subunit ribosomal RNA", at positions 334 to 642 of the family's 1533-position model. The record is from RNAcentral.
GUAUCCUACGGGACGCAGCAGUCGAGAAUCAUUCACAAUGGGGGAAACCCUGAUGGUGCGACGCCGCGUGGGGGAAUGAAGGUCUUCGGAUUGUAAACCCCUGUCAUGUGGGAGCAAAUUAAAAAGAUAGUACCACAAGAGGAAGAGACGGCUAACUCUGUGCCAGCAGCCGCGGUAAUACAGAGGUCUCAAGCGUUGUUCGGAAUCACUGGGCGUAAAGCGUGCGCAGGCUGUUUCGCACGUCGUGUGUGAAAGGCGCGGGCUCAACCCGCGGCCGGCACACGAUACUGCGAGACU